GAUGAAGAACGCAGCGAAAUGCGAUAAGUAGUGUGAAUUGCAGAAUUCAGUGAAUCAUCGAAUCUUUGAACGCACAUUGCGCCCCUUGGUAUCCCAGGGGCAUGCCUGUUCGAGCGUCAUUUCACCACUCAAGCCUGGCUUGGUGUUGGGCGACGUCCCCUUUGGGGACGCGCCUCGAAACGCUCGGCGGCGUGGCACCGGCUUUAAGCGUAGCAGAAUCUUUCGCUUUGGAAGUCGGGGCCCCGUCUGCCGGAAGACCUACUCGCAAGGUUGACCUCGGAUCAGGCAGGGAUACCCGCUGAACUUAAGCAUAUCAAUAAGCGGAGGA
This 328-nucleotide unclassified non-coding RNA is filed under the name soil metagenome. Its description in RNAcentral is "partial contains 5.8S ribosomal RNA, internal transcribed spacer 2, and large subunit ribosomal RNA". The stretch from base 1 to 119 matches the Rfam family "5.8S ribosomal RNA", at positions 35 to 154 of the family's 154-position model. The record is from RNAcentral.